GUGGGGAAUCUUGCGCAAUGGGCGAAAGCCUGACGCAGCCAUGCCGCGUGAAUGAUGAAGGUCUUAGGAUUGUAAAAUUCUUUCACCGGGGACGAUAAUGACGGUACCCGGAGAAGAAGCUCCGGCUAACUUCGUGCCAGCAGCCGCGGUAAUACGAAGGGGGCUAGCGUUGCUCGGAAUUACUGGGCGUAAAGGGCGCGUAGGCGGACAGCUUAGUCAGAGGUGAAAGCCGAGGGCUCAACCUUGGAAUUGCCUUUGAUACUGGCUGUCUUGAGUUUGGGAGAGGUGAGUGGAACUCCGAGUGUUGAGGUGAAAUUCGUAGAUAUUCGGAAGAACACCAGUGGCGAAGGCGACUCACUGGCCCAAUACUGACGCUGAGGCGCGAAAGCGUGGGGAGCAAACAGGAUUAGAAACCCUUGUAGUCC
Molecule: ribosomal RNA, 425 nt
Filed under: uncultured bacterium
Lineage: Bacteria
Description: partial 16S ribosomal RNA
Rfam family: Bacterial small subunit ribosomal RNA
Source: RNAcentral